Molecule: ribosomal RNA, 553 nt
Filed under: uncultured Actinomycetes bacterium
Lineage: Bacteria; Bacillati; Actinomycetota; Actinomycetes
Description: bacterial SSU rRNA
Rfam family: Bacterial small subunit ribosomal RNA
Source: RNAcentral
UAAUGGCUCACCAAGGCUAUGACGGGUAGCUGGUCUGAGAGGAUGGCCAGCCACAUUGGGACUGAGAUACGGCCCAGACUCCUACGGGAGGCAGCAGUGGGGAAUAUUGCGCAAUGGCCUGACGGCUGACGCAGCGACGCCGCGUGAGGGAUGAAGCUCCUCGGAGUGUAAACCUCUGUUGCCCGGGACGAACAGCUGAAUUCAUUCAGCCUGACGGUACCGGGUGAGGAAGCACCGGCUAACUCCGUGCCAGCAGCCGCGGUAAUACGGGGGGUGCGAGCGUUGUCCGGAAUCACUGGGCGUAAAGGGCGCGUAGGUGGCCUGAUAAGGGUGUGGUGAAAGUCCGGGGCUUAACCCCGGAUCUGCCAUGCCGACUGUCAGGCUGGAGUGCUGUAGGGGCAGGCGGAAUUCCGGGUGUAGCGGUGGAAUGCGUAGAGAUCCGGAGGAAGACCGGUGGCGAAGGCGGCCUGCUGGGCAGAUACUGACACUGAGGCGCGACAGCGUGGGGAGCAAACAGGAUUAGAUACCCUGGUAGUCCACGCCGUAAACGAUG